RNAcentral lists this non-coding RNA (169 nucleotides) under Clostridium sp. Lineage: Bacteria; Bacillati; Bacillota; Clostridia; Eubacteriales; Clostridiaceae. The record is from RNAcentral. RNAcentral also lists the same sequence under 1 other name.
AAUUGAUAUAUAGUUAUAGGUUAUGAAUUAAAAGGGAAGUCAGGUGAAAAUCCUGCACGGUCUCGCCGCUGUAAAAGAGGAGUCUUUAUAUAAUACCACUGGGAAACUGGGAAGGUUAUAAAGGCGAUGAUACUUAAGUCAGAAUACCUGCCUAUAAUAAUACACAAUU